AUUAAACGCUGGCGGCAUGCCUUACACAUGCAAGUCGAACGGUAGCGCGGGGCAACCUGGCGACGAGUGGCGAACGGGUGAGUAAAGCAUCGGAACGUGCCCUGGAAUGGGGGAUAACGUAGCGAAAGUUACGCUAAUACCGCAUAUUCUGUGAGCAGGAAAGCAGGGGAUCGCAAGACCUUGCGUUCUGGGAGCGGCCGAUGUCGGAUUAGCUAGUUGGUGGGGUAAAGGCCUACCAAGGCGACGAUCCGUAGCGGGUCUGAGAGGAUGAUCCGCCACACUGGGACUGAGACACGGCCCAGACUCCUACGGGAGGCAGCAGUGGGGAAUUUUGGACAAUGGGCGAAAGCCUGAUCCAGCCAUGCCGCGUGAGUGAAGAAGGCC
This 384-nucleotide ribosomal RNA is filed under the name uncultured bacterium. RNAcentral's name for it is "bacterial SSU rRNA". It matches the Rfam family "Bacterial small subunit ribosomal RNA", at positions 29 to 416 of the family's 1533-position model. The record is from RNAcentral.